UGGGGAAUAUUGGGCAAUGGGCGCAAGCCUGACCCAGCAACGCCGCGUGAGGGAAGAAGGUCUUCGGAUUGUAAACCUCUGUCCUUGGGGACGAAAAAAAUGACGGUACCCAAGGAGGAAGCUCCGGCUAACUACGUGCCAGCAGCCGCGGUAAUACGUAGGGAGCGAGCGUUGUCCGGAAUUACUGGGCGUAAAGGGUGCGUAGGCGGUCAGGCAAGUCAGAUGGGAAAUCCCCGGGCUUAACUCGGGUGGUGCAUUUGAAACUGCUUGACUUGAGUGCAGGAGAGGAAAGCGGAAUUCCUAGUGUAGCGGUGAAAUGCGUAGAUAUUAGGAGGAACACCAGUGGCGAAGGCGGCUUUCUGGACUGUAACUGACGCUGAGGCACGAAAGCGUGGGGAGCAAACA
Molecule: ribosomal RNA, 405 nt
Filed under: uncultured prokaryote
Description: bacterial SSU rRNA
Rfam family: Bacterial small subunit ribosomal RNA
Source: RNAcentral